GCUUGCUUCAGCAGCAUGUACUAAAACUGGAUGACCCAGAGGAGAUUAGUGUGAUCCCUGCACAAGGAUGACCUGUGAACUCAUGAAGUGUUCCCUGCUGCU
Small nuclear RNA from Rattus norvegicus (Norway rat), 102 nucleotides. NCBI's taxonomy places the organism in Eukaryota, Metazoa, Chordata, Mammalia, Rodentia, Muridae. The record is from Ensembl.